AGUCGAACGAAGUCUUCGGACUGAGUGGCGGACGGGUGAGUAACACGUGAGAACCUGCCUUAAGGUCGGGGAUAACAGUUGGAAACGACUGCUAAUACCGGAUGUGCCUACGGGUGAAAGAUUUAUUGCCUAAAGAUGGGCUCGCGUCUGAUUAGCUAGUUGGAGUGGUAAUGGCACACCAAGGCGACGAUCAGUAGCUGGUCUGAGAGGAUGAUCAGCCACACUGGGACUGAGACACGGCCCAGACUCCUACGGGAGGCAGCAGUGGGGAAUUUUCCGCAAUGGGCGAAAGCCUGACGGAGCAAGACCGCGUGAGGGAGGAAGGCUCUUGGGUUGUAAACCUCUUUUGUCAGGGAAGAACACAAUGACGGUACCUGACGAAUCAGCAUCGGCUAACUCCGUGCCAGCAGCCGCGGUAAUACGGAGGAUGCAAGCGUUAUCCGGAAUUAUUGGGCGUAAAGCGUCCGCAGGUGGCUAUUCAAGUCUGCCGUCAAAGACCGGGGCUUAACCCUGGAAAGGCGGUGGAAACUGAAAGGCUAGAGAGAGGUAGGGGUAGAGGGAAUUCCCAGUGUAGCGGUGAAAUGCGUAGAGAUUGGGAAGAACACCGGUGGCGAAAGCGCUCUACUGGACCUCAUCUGACGCUAGAGGACGAAAGCUAGGGGAGCGAAUGGGAUUAGAUACCCCAGUAGUCCUAGCCGUA
This 700-nucleotide ribosomal RNA is filed under the name uncultured cyanobacterium. RNAcentral's name for it is "bacterial SSU rRNA". It matches the Rfam family "Bacterial small subunit ribosomal RNA", at positions 60 to 804 of the family's 1533-position model. The record is from RNAcentral. Lineage: Bacteria; Bacillati; Cyanobacteriota.